This 274-nucleotide ribosomal RNA is filed under the name uncultured bacterium. Its description in RNAcentral is "partial 16S ribosomal RNA". It matches the Rfam family "Bacterial small subunit ribosomal RNA", at positions 523 to 796 of the family's 1533-position model. The record is from RNAcentral.
AUACAGAGGGUGCGAGCGUUAAUGGGAAUUACUGGGCGUAAAGCGCGCGUAGGCGGCUACUUAAGUCAGAUGUGAAAUCCCCGGGCUCAACCUGGGAACUGCAUCUGAUACUGGGUAGCUAGAGUUUAGGAGAGGGAAGUAGAAUUUCAGGUGUAGCGGUGAAAUGCAUAGAGAUCUGAAGGAAUACCAGUGGCGAAGGCGGCUUCCUGGCCUAAAACUGACGCUGAGGUGCGAAAGCGUGGGUAGCAAACGGGAUUAGAAACCCUGGUAGUCC